CCUACGGGGGGCAGCAGUGAGGAAUAUUGGUCAAUGGUCGGGAGACUGAACCAGCCAAGCCGCGUGAGGGAUGAAGGUACAGAGUAUCGUAAACCUCUUUUGUCAGGGAACAAAGGCGGGGACGUGUCCCCGGAUGAGUGUACCUGAAGAAAAAGCAUCGGCUAACUCCGUGCCAGCAGCCGCGGUAAUACGGAGGAUGCGAGCGUUAUCCGGAUUUAUUGGGUUUAAAGGGUGUGCAGGCGGUCUGUUAAGUCAGCGGUCAAAGCCCGGGGCUCAACCCCGGCCCGCCGUUGAAACUGGCAGUCGCGAGUUGGAGAGAAGUAUGCGGAAUGCGCGGUGUAGCGGUGAAAUGCAUAGAUAUCGCGCAGAACUCCGAUUGCGAAGGCAGCAUGCCGGCUCCACACUGACGCUGAGGCACGAAAGCGUGGGUAUCGAACAGGAUUAGAUACCCUUGUAGUC
Molecule: ribosomal RNA, 459 nt
Filed under: uncultured bacterium
Lineage: Bacteria
Description: partial 16S ribosomal RNA
Rfam family: Bacterial small subunit ribosomal RNA
Source: RNAcentral